This 93-nucleotide ribosomal RNA is filed under the name Vannella robusta. Its description in RNAcentral is "Vannella sp. CB-2014 partial Eukaryotic large subunit ribosomal RNA". The record is from RNAcentral. Lineage: Eukaryota; Discosea; Flabellinia; Vannellidae.
ACUUUGGGUGCAGAAUAGAGGGGAGUUUACCAACAUCCUUGAGAUACCCUCACCAAAUCGUUUGUUCACUCACUUAGUUUGGCCAGUUCAAGA